GACGAACGCUGGCGGCGUGCUUAACACAUGCAAGUCGAACGCGCCUGUCCUCUGGGUUUCUGGGGGGUGGGUGAGUGGCGAACGGGUGAGUAACACGUGAGUAACCUGCCCCCUUCUUCGGGAUAACGGUCUGAAAGGGCUGCUAAUACCGGGUAUUCACUGGUCUCCGCAUGGGGUCUGGUGGAAAGGCUUUUUUCUGGUGGGGGAUGGGCUCGCGGCCUAUCAGCUUGUUGGUGGGGUGAUGGCCCACCAAGGCUUUGACGGGUAGCCGGCCUGAGAGGGUGACCGGUCACAUUGGGACUGAGAUACGGCCCAGACUCCUACGGGAGGCAGCAGUGGGGAAUAUUGCACAAUGGGCGCAAGCCUGAUGCAGCGACGCCGCGUGAGGGAUGGAGGCCUUCGGGUUGUGAACCUCUUUCGCCCGUGGUCAAGCCGCGACGUGGGUCGUGGUGAGGGUAGUGGGUAAAGAAGCGCCGGCUAACUACGUG
Molecule: ribosomal RNA, 488 nt
Filed under: uncultured bacterium
Lineage: Bacteria
Description: partial 16S ribosomal RNA
Rfam family: Bacterial small subunit ribosomal RNA
Source: RNAcentral